Molecule: ribosomal RNA, 441 nt
Filed under: uncultured Neocallimastigomycetes
Lineage: Eukaryota; Fungi; Neocallimastigomycota; Neocallimastigomycetes
Description: LSU rRNA
Rfam family: Eukaryotic large subunit ribosomal RNA
Source: RNAcentral
GCUCAAAUUUGAAAUCUUCAAGGUUUUACCUUGACGAAUUGUAGUUUAAAGAAGUGUUUUCUGUUGGUGUUUUGGUAAAAGUUCUUUGGAAUAGGACAUCAUAGAGGGUGAGAAUCCCGUAUUUGACCAUUACUUCCAGCGUUGUGAUACACUUUCAAAGAGUCGGACUGUUUGGGAAUGCAGUCCAAAAUGGGUGGUAAAUUUCAUCUAAAGCUAAAUAUUGGCGAGAGACCGAUAGCGAACAAGUACCGUGAGGGAAAGAUGAAAAGAACUUUGAAAAGAGAGUUAAACAGUACGUGAAAUUGUCAAAAGGGAAGCGUUUGACACCAGUGUUGUUUUCUCGAAAAUCAAUUAAAAAAAGUUGGAUUUUGUAUUGUUAAGACCUUAUCAGCUUACUGUACUCUUUUCUUGCUUUUUUUAAUGCACUUUUCAUUUAACAAG